CGAACGGGUGAGUAACACGUGGGUUACCUGCCCCGAUGAUUGGGACAACCCGAGGAAACUCGGGCUAAUACCAAAUGUGCUCGUGGUCGUAAUGACCUCGAGGAAAGGAAGCUUCGGCCUCCGCAUCGGGAUGGGCCCGCGGCCCAUUAGCUAGUUGGUGGGGUAAUGGCCUACCAAGGCGACGAUGGGUAGCUGGUCUGAGAGGACGAUCAGCCACACUGGGACUGAGACACGGCCCAG
This 240-nucleotide ribosomal RNA is filed under the name uncultured bacterium. RNAcentral describes it as "partial 16S ribosomal RNA". It matches the Rfam family "Bacterial small subunit ribosomal RNA", at positions 99 to 334 of the family's 1533-position model. The record is from RNAcentral.